RNAcentral lists this microRNA precursor (205 nucleotides) under Oryza rufipogon (brownbeard rice). RNAcentral's name for it is "MIR812 microRNA precursor family". It matches the Rfam family "MIR812 microRNA precursor family". Lineage: Eukaryota; Viridiplantae; Streptophyta; Magnoliopsida; Poales; Poaceae. The record is from Rfam by way of RNAcentral.
AAAAAGGCAAACCCUGGGUUUGCGUGUCCAACUUUGACUGUCCGUCUUAUAUGAAAUAUUUUUAUAAUUUAUAUUUUUAUUGUUGUUAGAUGAUAAAACAUGAUUAAUAUUUUAUGCGUGACUUGUCUUUUUAAUUUUUUUUUAAAAAAUUUCAAAUAAGACGAACGGUCAAACGUUGGACACGGAAACCAGGGUUUGUCUUUUU